Molecule: ribosomal RNA, 468 nt
Filed under: uncultured bacterium
Lineage: Bacteria
Description: partial 16S ribosomal RNA
Rfam family: Bacterial small subunit ribosomal RNA
Source: RNAcentral
GACGAACGCUGGCGGCGUGCUUAACACAUGCAAGUCGAACGGAAAGGCCCUGCUUUUGUGGGGUGCUCGAGUGGCGAACGGGUGAGUAACACGUGAGUAACCUGCCCUUGACUUUGGCAUAACUUCAGGAAACUGGGGCUAAUACCGGAUAGGAGCUCCUGCUGCAUGGUGGGGGUUGGAAAGUUUCGGCGGUUGGGGAUGGACUCGCGGCUUAUCAGCUUGUUGGUGGGGUAGUGGCUUACCAAGGCUUUGACGGGUAGCCGGCCUGAGAGGGUGACCGGCCACAUUGGGACUGAGAUACGGCCCAGACUCCUACGGGAGGCAGCAGUGGGGAAUAUUGCACAAUGGGCGGAAGCCUGAUGCAGCAACGCCGCGUGCGGGAUGAAGGCCUUCGGGUUGUAAACCGCUUUCGCCUGUGACGAAGCGUGAGUGACGGUAAUGGGUAAAGAAGCACCGGCUAACUACGUG